This 730-nucleotide ribosomal RNA is filed under the name Clostridioides difficile. RNAcentral's name for it is "partial 23S ribosomal RNA". It matches the Rfam family "Bacterial large subunit ribosomal RNA", at positions 683 to 1421 of the family's 2925-position model. Lineage: Bacteria; Bacillati; Bacillota; Clostridia; Peptostreptococcales; Peptostreptococcaceae. The record is from RNAcentral.
UUUAACUGAGCGUUCAGUUACUUGACGUAGACCCGAAACCGGGCGACCUACCCAUGAGCAGGAUGAAGCGAAAGUAAAAUUUCGUGGAGGUCCGAACCCACGAGCGUUGAAAAGCUCGGGGAUGACUUGUGGGUAGCGGUGAAAUUCCAAUCGAGCCCGGAGAUAGCUGGUUCUCCCCGAAAUAGCUUUAGGGCUAGCCUCAAGGUGAGAGAUACGGAGGUAGAGCACUGAAUGUCCUAGGGGGUAUUGCACCUACCGAAGACUAUCAAACUCCGAAUGCCGUCAUCUUAUACUUGGGAGUCAGACUGUGGGUGAUAAGAUUCAUAGUCGAAAGGGCAACAGCCCAGAUCGUCAGCUAAGGUCCCUAAAUGUAAGUUAAGUGGUAAAGGAUGUGGGAUUGCACAGACAACCAGGAUGUUGGCUUAGAAGCAGCCACUCAUUCAAAGAGUGCGUAAUAGCUCACUGGUCGAGUGAUCCUGCGCCGAAGAUUUCCGGGGCUAAAACUUACUACCGAAGCUACGGCAUCAGUAAUGAUGGGUAGGGGAGCUUCCCAUACGGGUUGAAGCAUGACCGUAAGGACAUGUGGACAGUAUGGGAGUGAGAAUGUUGGCAUGAGUAGCGAGAUGUGGGUGAGAAUCCCACAGGCCGUAAACCCAAGGUUUCCAGGGGAAGGUUCGUCCGCCCUGGGUUAGUCGGGACCUAAGCUGAGGCCGAAAGGCGUAGGUGAUGG